This 598-nucleotide long non-coding RNA is filed under the name Salvia miltiorrhiza (redroot sage). RNAcentral describes it as "long non-coding RNA (SMIL_LNC011349)". The record is from RNAcentral. Lineage: Eukaryota; Viridiplantae; Streptophyta; Magnoliopsida; Lamiales; Lamiaceae.
AAUCAUCUAAUAAUACAAACAAAACACAAAAGUUUGCUUGUGGUUUGACAGAACUUGCAUAAAGACCGCUGAGGUGAAAGAUAUAACUGAUUCAUCGAAUUCUUUCCUACCUUCUGUGGAAGCAGAAGAUUAAAUUUAAUUCCUACCUUAUAAGAUUUCAGUUCCCUGUUCAAAUAUCUACAUUAUAAAGAUGGUUUUGGUUCAUCAGGAAAUAUGCAUUCAAAUGAAAUAGACCUCAGAUUCUCAAAAGCGGCUGCCCAGAAUCCGAGCUGCAGCAGCCUCUCUCGGCAGCAGCAACCAGCUGCAGCUCGCAGACAGCAGCGACGGAGGCUCGUGGACGGCAAAGGCGCCCAUUCUCUCUGUUUCUCGUAGUAGAAAAUUUUAGAGAGGGAUAGAAGAGAGCGAAAGGUCUCGACUCUCGAGUUCGAGCUCCGUACUAAGGUUUUUGAAUUUAAUUGUUAAUGUUUUUAUUUUAUUUUUAGUAAAGAAGGAAAUGAGAUGGACUAUAUGGGCCAUAGAGUGGUGGGCUGAGCCCAACAAUUUGGGCCAAUUCUGACUUGCAAUUUCCAUUACGGGUGAUUUUAUUCAUAACCCCAUU